Molecule: transfer RNA, 73 nt
Filed under: Salmo salar (Atlantic salmon)
Lineage: Eukaryota; Metazoa; Chordata; Actinopteri; Salmoniformes; Salmonidae
Rfam family: tRNA
About the family: Transfer RNA (tRNA) molecules are approximately 80 nucleotides in length. Their secondary structure includes four short double-helical elements and three loops (D, anti-codon, and T loops).
Source: Rfam by way of RNAcentral
UCCUCUGUGGCUCUUUUGGUAGAGCAUGGCACUUGCAAUGCCAGGAUAGUGGGUUUAGAUUCCUCCUGGGGCC